Molecule: long non-coding RNA, 241 nt
Organism: Musca vetustissima
Lineage: Eukaryota; Metazoa; Arthropoda; Insecta; Diptera; Muscidae
Exons: 2
Source: RefSeq, a predicted model, not a curated record
AUUUUUCUUUACAAUUUCUAUUACAGAUGCCCCGCACACGUAGACGCCAUCAUUCAAGAGAUCGUUCAUCCGGUGGGAUGCGUGAUAAACGUCGGCGUGUCGAUUCUGAGGAAAAUUCACCAAUAGCCUCAGAUGUUAAUUCACCGCCACGUUAUAAAAAUAAUCGAUCGGAUGCCAAACGUCGUCGUCAUGAUUCAGAUGCCAGCUCAAGAGUUUCAAAGGAAUCAACGUAAGUUUUGUA